UGGGAGGCUUUUCGGUGAAAACCUCCCAUUAACAAAAGGUGUCUCCUCCUGCUGGAUCAUAUUUGGGCACCUUGCCAUUGCAGAUUUGACAGAGGACAUCAAAUGGUCUUGUUAACCUGUGAAUUUGGCAUAAAUGUAAGGAAGAGACUGGAAGCAAACAGACAUGCAGGAGCUCAGACACAGAUAUGAGUAUUUCUGUGGGACUGAUUUGCAAUUGCUAAGCCAAAGAGAUGGUUACAAACACUGCCUGGUAUAGGAUGUAUUUACUUCAGCAUCCUGAGAAAACUCGACUCAGAGGAAAAGUGUGAGACCUGAAGGCAAACAUGAAUUUUACUUUUAUUCCCAUGCAUACUGCUUUUUUUCAAAAACAUUUCCAUUUUAUACCUUUGAUGGGCCUAGUUUGGGGCUAUCUAUAGAGUCAGGUUUCUCUUAUUUGGAAAACUUGACUGUAAUGUUGUAGUACAAAGCUCUGGCCACGCUGUCCAGCCCCAGAGGGUGCCAUGCAGUUCACAGCGACAAGAAUGUUUUGGAAUGCUGGCAAAGGAGCAGAAACAGUGUGUCCUCCCCACACAUUUAGAAAAAUAAACGUACAGAGGACAUGGCGUACUUCUUAAUAAAGGCUUUGGAAAACACCACACCUCAGUAAACAUUCCUCAGGAGGUGAGGAAACACUCUGGUCAAUGGCUUACCUCAGCUCCCGUAAUUCUGGGUCCAGUGAAGCGGACAAUAGCGCAGACGCAGCACCAGCCUUGAAGGAGGGAGAGCAAAGGACAUGCAGACACGCUCUUCAAACAAGCCCAGGGUCCUGCUUCAGGCACUUUGUGUUGUCUGGUCAUCCCAAGACGUGUUUGGGAUUUGCUGAACCCUCCAUCACUAGGUAACCACGUCUUGGUGCUUUCUUCUGACCCUGGAUGAGACACUUAACAACUUCCUCCUUUGGCCUUCAGAGGUCCUGAUGGGGCUUCCUUUGUAACUUCGCAUAGAGCAAUCCAAGCUCAGUGCCUCUGACACCAGUGUAAUUCCCUCUCUCCUGAGUUUGAAAAUGCAAGGAUCACCAUCCUCAUUGACGGUAACCAAAGAGAACCAAAUAUUCAGCUUAUGGUUGGAUUGCGUAUUGUCCUAACCUUUUGCUCCCCAAAUGUUUCAUCUGCAGUCUGAAGCAUCUUUUCCACUGAAAAGAAAAAGACUAUUAAGAAGGUUCCCAUCAUUUUCGAUAGGAAGCAACGUUCUUGAUUCAUUCGCGUAACAGGAGAUUUGAACUAAAUGGCGUCCCUUUUUAGUUUGUGGAGCCAAUAUUGUUCCCUGGCACCAUUUUCCUAAAUGACUAACUAUUCACCUCACUCCAGCCUCUUUCAAAAAUUCCAGCAUGCCUGAGUGAAUCUAUGCUGGAGCUCUGUACAAAGCUAGUGAGAACCCCAUUUCUGUCUCCAGAUUUCUCUAGAGCAGCAGCUCCCUAACACAGUUCCGCUGACACUGGAAAUCAGGAAUAUGUGGGAUUUAUUAAAAAAGACAGAUGCUUGGGCCUCAUUCUGAAGGUUUUCAUUCAUUGUAUCUUGGUCGGAGCCAGGUAUCAAUGUUUUAUUAAUUCCCUGGUGACCCUAAAAUAAAGCAGGUUUGCUAACUAACAACUUAGGCCACUCCAGUUGUCUACUUCCCUCCUUUUCUCUGGCUUCCCUGUUUUAUGAUUCCUUUACAUAGUUCAUCUUCCUCUCUGUCUUGUCACUUACACUGAUACAUUUUUCAGCCUUGACACCUCAGAUUCAGCCUCUAGCUCCCCUCCAGAACAUGACUGUUUCACUGCUAUCCCUGGAUGAGACACUGGAUGAGAAAGGUUUUAGUGUCUCAGCCCUCCAGUCCUUAUGAGGGUGGCUUCCUGCAGGAGAGAAUAAGUAGACACAAGCAACUAGCUGUGAGGUCUCCAGAGCAUGGCCCCAGGGCAAUUGUUGGUUUGCUACACUUAAAAGAAGGCUUUA
Long non-coding RNA from Manis javanica (Malayan pangolin), 1973 nucleotides. RefSeq lists it as uncharacterized. NCBI's taxonomy places the organism in Eukaryota, Metazoa, Chordata, Mammalia, Pholidota, Manidae. The record is from RefSeq and is a predicted model, not a curated record.